Molecule: long non-coding RNA, 415 nt
Organism: Talpa occidentalis (Iberian mole)
Lineage: Eukaryota; Metazoa; Chordata; Mammalia; Eulipotyphla; Talpidae
Exons: 3
Source: RefSeq, a predicted model, not a curated record
GCAAACAAGAUAAUAAUUGUGCAUGUCUGGCUCUGAAUCUAGAGGGCAAGGCUUGCGUCACCGGCACUCUGAGUUACCAUGGGAUACCUGGUGCAGCUUCAUGUUGGUGGGGGAAUCAAACAAGAGGAAAUCACAGAUAGAUUGUGGAGCAUGUUGGCUACUUGCAGUUGGUGAUAGUGUUUUGCUGCUGAAGAAGAAUCCAGACCAAUUCGCCAGCCUAGUAAUCCAUUGCUCAGCUUCAUUAACCGCAGAAAGACAUUAAGUGACUGUAAGGACCCUGGAACAGCCUCGAAACCAGGUGAUGAGCAGCCUUUAAGUUCUGGGCUCAGGUAUAUUUUAUGCCACCUCAACUGUGCAUCAAACUCUCCUCCCUGGACUCAUUAAAACUGUGUGCCCACAGGAGCCCCUCGACUUU